AUGAAAAAUGGCCUAGCCUGGGAUAUUGAUAAUUUCCGUAUAUAAUAAUCUUCUGGAUAUAGGCUUUCUAGAAAUAUUUUUCUUUUUUUCAUAUAUUCUAUACUUUUUUGUUAAUAUGACGUUGAAUAUUGUGGUAUUUAAUGUUAAAAAAUUAACAUUUCGGGAUACACGUCACAACAAUAAACCUGCAAUGAUCAUGUACAAUGUACAUGAACCUAUAAAUCUCUGAAUAUAUCAAGUUAUAUGCACUCAUAUAGCUAGAAUGGCUAAUUCAAUGAUCAUAAUAAGCAUUUUUGACCAAAUAUGGGAAAUAGAAAUAAGAAAUAUUUUGGAAAUGAUGUUCAAAGCCGUGAUUGUUCAACUUUACUUUUAAAUUAUUUUUACUUGAAUUUUGAAAUACUGAAAUAAGAAGAAUAAAUAUAGUAUGUAGUCUAUUUACAUGGUGAAAGAAGUGAAUCAUUGGAACAAUUCUGUUUCAUAUCAUAUUCCAUGGUUUUUGGAUUUUGUUUUGUUUUUUGGUUGUUUUUUUUUUUUUUUUGUAUUAAAACGACCGAGUAUCGAUAUCAAUGGUAACGAAAUAAGUUGACACCGCGUCUCGUCAAAACAUGUUCAAUUCGAAUUUACUCGGAAUUACACGGUCAACGAGCAUUUGCUGUGAAACCUGAUUAAAGGAAAAUUACUGUAGACACCUAAUAGUGAUUUGUACAGAAGCGAAUGAUGGCCUCUUUUGAAAUUAAGAUUUCAUGCCUUACUCCUACUGGGACUACAACUAACUUUGGACCUGGUCACUCGCAGAUACAGCAUGAAGUGUGCCCUCUUGAUGUACAUGGGGAUGGGAGUGAUACAGAAGGGGGACUAAUUGGAAGAACUGCUACUGCUGGUGGUGGUGCUGGACUGUCUUGAAUCUGUUGCCUAACCGACUUGAUAUUCUUCUGUUUAAUAUGGGAGCAACACACACACUCUGGCAUAUAUUGCACAGAAAAUCAUGAUCAGAUGGUGCCCUCCCUAUCAGAGUGGUGAUCACUGUCCUAUAUUUCUUUGAAAUCCUGGAUCUGUGUUUUGGUUUUACUCUCCAUGGACAGUUGAAACAGAGAAAGAAUUAGGGACCACUCCUUGGCAUAUCUGAAAUAUUUAUGUCAUAUAUAUGUAAUUAAAAUAUACAAUUUGGGUUGGAUGAAAAUCUUAUCUUCAUGUUAAAACCCAUUAGCCUAGGUUAUUUUUCCUAAAAUCUAAUUAUAAAUCAAUUAACUUGUUAAUUAAUGCUUGGUGAAUCAAUUAAUAAAUUGUAUUCAAAAACUUGAAAUUAUUUUUUUUCCACUAAUAAACUGAAAAUGUGUAUCUUCAAAUGUUUUGUUGAUUAAUGUCAGUGUGAAAUAUAGAGGGGGUAUGGGGUUUACAACAAUGUAUAUUACAUGGUUAAUUUAUUUCUAUUAUGUAGUCCAUGUAAAUUUCUGUGGAAACGAGGAAGUUAUUUAUAUUCGGUCUUUCCUAUCCCGGGGUAGGAAAGACCGAAUAUAAAUAACACCCUCGUUUCCACGGAAAUUAAGUCCAUGAGAGCCUGAAAUCUCCCAACCUGGGUCUGUUUAAUGGACCCUUCCAAAGUCCUUUUUUAAGGAAAAAGUAAACCAUUUUCCUAAUCCAAAAAGAAAACUGGUGCAAAAACCAUGCACAUCUCCAUACAUGAAAUAAUAUAAAUAAUAGAAAAAUUAUCAGUAGUAUUGUAAUACAUUUUUGGGGGGUGGGGGUUUGCCGUUUCACCUUUAUAGAUUGGGUUUUUUUCCUAACAUUUAAAACAUAUCUUUUCAAUAUCAAUUUUGUCUUUAGCACAAAAUAAAAAUUCUAAAAUCAAUGAAAGCGUUUGAUUUUCGUGUGUAUAUAUAAAACAAAACGAAAGAAAAAAAAACUAGGAUCCUCCACUAGUAAACUAUGUUUUCCAUUUAGAGUUAUUGCCCUUCAAUUGAAAAAAAGUAAAUAUAAUUAAAUGAAUACUUUACAUUUCAACACAAGUUAUGUCAAAUAUUAUUUAACAAGAUAUAUUUUGAUAUGUAUUUAAAUUGACCUACUUCAUUAAAAACAAACUU
Long non-coding RNA from Ostrea edulis (European flat oyster), 2081 nucleotides. RefSeq lists it as uncharacterized. NCBI's taxonomy places the organism in Eukaryota, Metazoa, Mollusca, Bivalvia, Ostreida, Ostreidae. The transcript is spliced from 2 exons. The record is from RefSeq and is a predicted model, not a curated record.